CUGCCUGCGGUCUCUUACCUCUCCCUUCUGGCUCUUUGCUUAUAAAAAUUUAAAAAAAAACUCCAAAUUCCCUAAAUAAUAAAUAUAGUCAGCGACAGAUGGUGCCAUAAUGGUAAAGAGAGGGACGGGAAACAAGAGAACGAUCGAGAUAUCGCAGUGGGGAAGGGGAUUGGAUUCUUGGAAGGGAUGGACGUUCGGAACGUGGACAACGCCUCCGCCGCACUGUCCUCACGGGCGCCGUCUUCGAAGCAACCCAAGACGCCGCCCAAUCCCGUCGACACCACUUCGGCGUCCCAGAGUCUCCAGAAGGAGUUGAUGUCUAUGAUGGCGCGUUCUGCUUCUUGCCCUUCCCCUAUUUUUCUAUUAUUUUUAUCAUUUCCAAUGGAAAAGAAGAAUCUUGGAUGUUUUGCAUCUUCUUCUUGCGAUGAGCAACAAAGAUAUUGGGAGGAUAUUAUGAUUCUGGAAUGAAUUAUGGGAAAUUUUUCUUAGGCUUUGGUUCUCGAUUAUAAUAGCAUUCUCUGGCAGUCGAUGCAUUACUUGUUUGAGAUUAGUUUUGGGAUAUCACUCCUUCUAGCAUUGCGACUUGGGAAAAAUCGGAUUUCUCUUUUCUACCUUUCUUUUAUAGAUGGAUGGUAUUUACAGGUGUGUUUGCAAUUUGAGUUGCAAUGGGGUUCUUUUAUUUUUGGUAGAAGUAAUUGUCUCAUUUUAAGGUUGAUCAGAUCAUCAUAAAAUUUCAGACUUAGGCUAAUCUGCUGGAGAGAAGAUUCUGAAUUUUUUUUAAAAAAAAUCUUUUUUCUUUUUUAAUUGAGUUCUGGUGUUCUACACAAUUGUUUGAGUGUCUCUUAUAAUUUAAGCUGGCUAAUUAUGUGCCACCUAUUAAAGAAUGAUUAUUGUUGUAUUGUAUCCAUUCCUUGAAUUCUCUUCUUUGCUAUUAAGUUCCCAUUUCAAAAACCUGCCAACUCUCAUAUAAGUUAUUGAUUGUUGUAGGAUUUUUCUAAAUUAUAUGACUCCACCCUUAGGCUACUUGAUUGGGAAUAUAUUUUUUAGAAAUUUUGGGUCAUGGUAGUAAAGUUUCAGACUCAGGCUAAUCUGCUGGAAAGAAUAUUCUGAUUUUUUCUUUUUUCUUUUUUGUAAAAAAAAUUGUUUUGUUUUCUUUAUUCUUUCGUUGAGUUCUGGUGUUCUAUACAAUUGUUUGAGUGUCUCUUAUAAUUUAAGCUGGUUAAUCAUGUGCCACCUAUUAAAGGAUCAUUAUUGUUGUCCUAUGUUCAUUCCUUGAAUUUUCUACUUGACUAUUAAGUUACCCAUUUCAAAAACCUGUCAACUCUCAUAUAAGUAAGGUACUGAUUGUUGUAGGAUUUUCUAAAUUAUAUGAUUGUCAUCCUUAGGCUACUCGAUUGGGAAAUAUAUUUUAGAAAUUUUGUCAUUCUCACUUUCUCUGGUCAAAAAAGGCUUAGGGGGGGCCUUCCAAGCCUCAUGAGAAUGCUAAAGAGGGCAUCUAGCAUGCCCCCUACUUUUUUUUUUAAGGAAAAAUUGUUGCACAGGCUGGUGUUGGCGUCAGCUGAACCGAGCUUGGCACCAGGUCGUGCAUGCCCGUUUUGACUGGGACAACUGAUUCAGGACUUGUACUAUCUGAAACAUGCUUUGGUACUUAUCAGUACCAGCUAGUUUCAAAUGGGAUGGCCAGAAUGGUGCAGUAUUGGUGAUUCUAUCCCAUUUCAGCAGUAUUUGAAUCCAUGGAGACGACAAUCUCCUUCACAAUAGGAUUGAAGAUCUAUUGUAAAUGCGGAAGCUUCUUCAGUGAAAUUUCUAACCAAGAGAUUCUAAAGCCUGAUUUUGAUUAGACCUUAUUGCUUCUUGAAGGAAGAACUGAAGAAUGGAUAAAGCCAUCCUAAAUCUGUUGAAAGGGGACUAUCCUUGAUAUGAAGAGGUAUAUUGACUUAAUCUGUUCUCCAAUCGCUUGUCUCUGUUGGUUGGGUUGUUUCAAAGUCCCUUUGCUAUGGAAGAAAUUGAAAAGUUGUUUUAGAAC
Molecule: non-coding RNA, 2026 nt
Organism: Elaeis guineensis (African oil palm)
Lineage: Eukaryota; Viridiplantae; Streptophyta; Magnoliopsida; Arecales; Arecaceae
Source: RefSeq, a predicted model, not a curated record